CCUACGGGAGGCAGCAGUGAGGAAUAUUGGACAAUGGAUGGAAAUCUGAUCCAGCCAUGCCGCGUGAAGGUCACGGCCCUAUGGGUCUUAAACUUCUUUUGUACGGGAGCAAUAAGGCGUAUGCAUACGUCGAUGAGAGUACCGUACGAAUAAGCAUCGGCUAACUCCGUGCCAGCAGCCGCGGUAAU
RNAcentral lists this ribosomal RNA (188 nucleotides) under uncultured bacterium. Its description in RNAcentral is "partial 16S ribosomal RNA". It matches the Rfam family "Bacterial small subunit ribosomal RNA", at positions 338 to 524 of the family's 1533-position model. The record is from RNAcentral.